ACGCUCGACACCUACUGGAGGCAGCAGUGGGGAAUAUUGCACAAUGGGGGAAACCCUGAUGCAGCGACGCCGCGUGGAGGAAGAAGGUCUUCGGAUUGUAAACUCCUGUUGUUGGGGAAAAAGAGGAUGGUACCCAACAAGGAAGUGACGGCUAACUACGUCANNGCGCGGAGUAUGNGNGGCGUGNGAGAG
This 192-nucleotide ribosomal RNA is filed under the name uncultured bacterium. Its description in RNAcentral is "partial 16S ribosomal RNA". It matches the Rfam family "Bacterial small subunit ribosomal RNA", at positions 328 to 538 of the family's 1533-position model. The record is from RNAcentral.